RNAcentral lists this microRNA precursor (171 nucleotides) under Linum usitatissimum (flax). RNAcentral describes it as "miR319a stem-loop (lus-MIR319a)". Its record names the gene lus-MIR319a. It matches the Rfam family "MIR159 microRNA precursor family", at positions 13 to 185 of the family's 196-position model. Lineage: Eukaryota; Viridiplantae; Streptophyta; Magnoliopsida; Malpighiales; Linaceae. The record is from miRBase by way of RNAcentral.
AGAGAGCUUUCUUCAGUCCACUCAUGGGUGGCAAUAAGGAUUUAAUUAGCUGCCGACUCAUUCAUCCAAAUACUGUGUGUAGUAUAUUUAAUCAGCAUGGUAAAUGAGUGAAUGAUGCGGGAGACAAAUUGAAUCUUAAGCUUCCUGUACUUGGACUGAAGGGAGCUCCCU